CAUCGGUCGUAUGUUUGGGCUUAGGGGCUNGAGNACGUGGCGCGCAUACUAGNNNUUUUUUUUUUUUUCCCCCUGCNNCCGUUGAAACUAGUAUAUCAAUAAGCGGAGGAAAGAAACCAACAGGGAUUGCUCAGUAACGGCGAGUGAAGCGGCAACAGCUCAAAUUUGAAAUCUGGCUCUUUUAGAGUCCGAGUUGUAAUUUGUAGAAGAUGCUUUGGGUGUGGCUCCGGUCUAAGUUCCUUCGGAACAGGACGUCAUAGAGGGUGAGAAUCCCGUAUGUGACUGGCUGCCUCCGCCCGUGUAAAGCUCUUUCGACGAGUCGAGUUGUUUGGGAAUGCAGCUCAAAAUGGGUGGUAAAUUUCAUCUAAAGCUAAAUAUUGGCCAGAGACCGAUAGCGCACAAGUAGAGUGAUCGAAAGAUGAAAAGCACUUUGGAAAGAGAGUUAAACAGUACGUGAAAUUGUUGAAAGGGAAGCGCUUGCAAUCAGACUUGCGCGCGGCCGAUCAUCCGGGGUUCUCCCCGGUGCACUCGGCCGCGCUCAGGCCACAUCGGUUUCGGUGGUGGGAUAAAGGCCUUGGGAAUGUAGCUCCUCUCGGGGAGUGUUAUAGCCCUCGGUGCAAUGCCGCCUAUCGGGACCGAGGACCGCGCUUCGGCUAGGAUGCUGGCGUAAUGGUUGCAAGCGACCCGUCUUGAAACACGGACCAAGGAGUCUAACAUUUAUGCGAGUGUUUGGGUGUUAAACCCAUACGCGUAAUGAAAGUGAACGGAGGUGAGAACCCUUAAGGGUGCAUCAUCGACCGAUCCUGAUGUCUUCGGAUGGAUUUGAGUAAGAGCAUAACUGUUGGGACCCGAAAGAUGGUGAACUAUGCCUGAAUAGGGUGAAGCCAGAGGAAACUCUGGUGGAGGCUCGCAGCGGUUCUGACGUGCAAAUCGAUCGUCAAAUUUGGGUAUAGGGGCGAGAGACUAAUCGAACCAUCUAGUACCUGGUUCCUGCGAGUUNCCCUANNAAAAAAAAAAAAAACAACCCCCUAAAAUGGGUUUAAAUAACCUUUCCCCCUUUCCCAAUUUUAAGAAUGAAUU
This 1080-nucleotide ribosomal RNA is filed under the name Calycina herbarum. Its description in RNAcentral is "Hymenoscyphus herbarum partial 28S ribosomal RNA". It matches the Rfam family "Eukaryotic large subunit ribosomal RNA", at positions 1 to 1088 of the family's 3401-position model. Lineage: Eukaryota; Fungi; Ascomycota; Leotiomycetes; Helotiales; Pezizellaceae. The record is from RNAcentral.